Molecule: ribosomal RNA, 635 nt
Filed under: Rathayibacter sp. Se2Pt_454
Lineage: Bacteria; Bacillati; Actinomycetota; Actinomycetes; Micrococcales; Microbacteriaceae
Description: bacterial SSU rRNA
Rfam family: Bacterial small subunit ribosomal RNA
Source: RNAcentral
GCAGCCUGAUGCAGCAACGCCGCGUGGGGGAUGACGGCCUUCGGGUUGUAAACCUCUUUUAGUAGGGAAGAAGGACUUCGGUUUGACGGUACCUGCAGAAAAAGCACCGGCUAACUACGUGCCAGCAGCCGCGGUAAUACGUAGGGUGCAAGCGUUGUCCGGAAUUAUUGGGCGUAAAGAGCUCGUAGGCGGUUUGUCGCGUCUGCUGUGAAAACCCGAGGCUCAACCUCGGGCCUGCAGUGGGUACGGGCAGACUAGAGUGCGGUAGGGGAGAAUGGAAUUCCUGGUGUAGCGGUGGAAUGCGCAGAUAUCAGGAGGAACACCGAUGGCGAAGGCAGUUCUCUGGGCCGUAACUGACGCUGAGGAGCGAAAGCGUGGGGAGCGAACAGGAUUAGAUACCCUGGUAGUCCACGCCGUAAACGUUGGGCGCUAGAUGUGGGGACCUUUCCACGGUUUCCGUGUCGCAGCUAACGCAUUAAGCGCCCCGCCUGGGGAGUACGGCCGCAAGGCUAAAACUCAAAGGAAUUGACGGGGGCCCGCACAAGCGGCGGAGCAUGCGGAUUAAUUCGAUGCAACGCGAAGAACCUUACCAAGGCUUGACAUAUACCGGAAACUUCCAGAAAUGGUUGCCCCGC